RNAcentral lists this ribosomal RNA (450 nucleotides) under uncultured bacterium. RNAcentral's name for it is "partial 16S ribosomal RNA". It matches the Rfam family "Bacterial small subunit ribosomal RNA", at positions 354 to 796 of the family's 1533-position model. The record is from RNAcentral.
GUGGGGAAUUUUGGACAAUGGGCGCAAGCCUGAUCCAGCCAUUCCGCGUGCAGGAUGAAGGCCUUCGGGUUGUAAACUGCUUUUGUACGGAACGAAAAGCCUCUGGUUAAUACCCGGGGGUCAUGACGGUACCGUAAGAAUAAGCACCGGCUAACUACGUGCCAGCAGCCGCGGUAAUACGUAGGGUGCGAGCGUUAAUCGGAAUUACUGGGCGUAAAGCGUGCGCAGGCGGUGAUGUAAGACAGUUGUGAAAUCCCCGGGCUCAACCUGGGAAUUGCGCUUGUGACUGCAAGGCUGGAGUGCGGCAGAGGGGGAUGGAAUUCCGCGUGUAGCAGUGAAAUGCGUAGAUAUGCGGAGGAACACCGAUGGCGAAGGCAAUCCCCUGGGCCUGCACUGACGCUCAUGCACGAAAGCGUGGGGAGCAAACAGGAUUAGAUACCCCAGUAGUCC